UUGAAGCGCCUCGGAUGG
This 18-nucleotide small nuclear RNA is filed under the name Arabidopsis thaliana (thale cress). RNAcentral describes it as "snRNA_04005". The record is from RNAcentral. Lineage: Eukaryota; Viridiplantae; Streptophyta; Magnoliopsida; Brassicales; Brassicaceae.